RNAcentral lists this ribosomal RNA (249 nucleotides) under uncultured soil bacterium. RNAcentral's name for it is "partial 16S ribosomal RNA". It matches the Rfam family "Bacterial small subunit ribosomal RNA", at positions 26 to 271 of the family's 1533-position model. The record is from RNAcentral.
AGAUUGAACGCUGGCGGCAGGCCUAACACAUGCAAGUCGAGCGGCAGCACGGGUACUUGUACCUGGUGGCGAGCGGCGGACGGGUGAGUAAUGCCUAGGAAUCUGCCUGAUAGUGGGGGAUAACGCUCGGAAACGGACGCUAAUACCGCAUACGUCCUACGGGAGAAAGCAGGGGACCUUCGGGCCUUGCGCUAUCAGAUGAGCCUAGGUCGGAUUAGCUAGUUGGUGGGUAAGUAGGUCGUCUACCAA